Molecule: ribosomal RNA, 420 nt
Filed under: uncultured bacterium
Lineage: Bacteria
Description: bacterial SSU rRNA
Rfam family: Bacterial small subunit ribosomal RNA
Source: RNAcentral
GAAUAUUGGACAAUGGCCGCAAGGCUGAUCCAGCCAUGCCGCGUGCUGGAUGAAGGUGCUCUGCAUUGUAAACUGCUUUUGUUCGGGAAUAAACCCCUCUACGUGUAGAGGGCUGAAUGUACCGAAAGAAUAAGGGUCGGCUAACUUCGUGCCAGCAGCCGCUGUAAUACGAAGGACCCAAGCGUUAUUCGGAUUUAUUGGGUUUAAGGGGUGCGUAGGCGGAAUAUUAAGUCAGUGGUGAAAGCCUACAGCUUAACUGUAGAAUUGCCAUUGAUACUGAUGUUCAUGAGUAUGAUUGAGGUGGGCGGAAUGUGUCAUGUAGCGGUGAAAUGCUUAGAUAUGACACAGAACACCGAUUGCGAAGGCAGCUCACUAAGCCAAUACUGACGCUGAUGCACGAAAGCGUGGGGAGCAAACAGG